Molecule: ribosomal RNA, 503 nt
Filed under: uncultured bacterium
Lineage: Bacteria
Description: partial 16S ribosomal RNA
Rfam family: Bacterial small subunit ribosomal RNA
Source: RNAcentral
AUUGAACGCUGGCGGCAGGCUUAACACAUGCAAGUCGAGCGGGGUGAUGGUGCUUGCACUAUCACUUAGCGGCGGACGGGUGAGUAAUGCUUAGGAAUCUGCCUAUUAGUGGGGGACAACAUCUCGAAAGGGAUGCUAAUACCGCAUACGUCCUACGGGAGAAAGCAGGGGAUCACUUGUGACCUUGCGCUAAUAGAUGAGCCUAAGUCGGGUUAGCUAGUUGGUGGGGUAAAGGCCUACCAAGGCGACGAUCUGUAGCGGGUCUGAGGGGAUGAUCCGCCAGACUGGGACCGAGACACGGCCCAGACUCCUACGGGAGGCAGCAGUGGGGAAUAUUGGACAAUGGGGGGAACCCUGAUCCAGCCAUGCCGCGUGUGUGAAGAAGGCCUUAUGGUUGUAAAGCACUUUAAGCGAGGAGGAGGCUCUUUUGGUUAAUACCCAAGAUGAGUGGACGUUACUCGCAGAAUAAGCACCGGCUAACUCUGUGCCAGCCGCCGCCGUAA